This is a long non-coding RNA of Chiroxiphia lanceolata (lance-tailed manakin), 1948 nucleotides long. RefSeq lists it as uncharacterized. The transcript has 4 exons. NCBI's taxonomy places the organism in Eukaryota, Metazoa, Chordata, Aves, Passeriformes, Pipridae. The record is from RefSeq and is a predicted model, not a curated record.
AAUUUCUUCCUACUAUCCUAUUUAAUACUACUGUCUCUUGGUCUGAAUUAUUCCCCCUCAUCCUGUCACUCUGUGGUCUUCUUUUAAAGAAGUCUCUCUCCAUGAUUGAUAGAUGCUGAUGAUUUAUGUAGUCUCACUAACUUUAAUGAAUAUAUUGCAGAUUACUUAAAUUACACUUCAAAGAAACUUUGACAAUAUGAAGGUAAAAAAACCCCUUCACCCUCAGCACCUUUCAUUUUUGUCAAAGGAAUAAUAAACACCCACAAAGUUAUUUCCAAAAUUGAUGGUCUCCAUCUGUAUUUUUUACACGCAGUAUCAAAAAAACCUCCAACAAAAUCUGUUUUUUUUCUUUAUUUUAGGAAAUGAAUUUUGUCGCUUCAGUAAAUGAAAUGGAUGCUGCCACCUCAGUGUUGCAAGGAAACAAAUUUUUUCAUAGCCUUUCUCCAUAGUUAUGUGCUAAGGGAGGAUAGAAAACCAGGAUCUUUAUGCUCAACAAUAUAAGACAUUUAUAAAAGCAGACUGAAAGAACUUCAAGAAGUGUGGCUUAAUUAGAUUUUAUUUAGAAAGUCUGUUUUGGGAAACAGUCACUGCGAACAGUAAGGAAUAAUUAUUACAGAUUACAUUGGGAGGCAACGUCUGUUAAAGCAGAAGACACAAAAGCAAGAUUAAAGAGGAGUUUUUAAAAUAUUUAAAGUGUAUCAAAUGAAAUUAUUCACAUAAAGUGGAACUAAGUAAAAAGAUAGGUUUAAUUUCCAGGACUGAUUUCCUUUAUAAAUUGCAAAACUGUAAUAUGAAUGAACUUGUGAGGUUUGUAAUGCUGGCCUCUCCUUAUGGAAGCAAAAUCAACACUUUAUUCAGAUAUCUGCUUGUUCUGGCAUUGUUGUAGCAUCUGCUAAAAAAGUCUUAUUUCAGUCUUCUUCAGAAGAAGGAGUUGCUCUAGAGCUGAAGAAAUUUGUGUGAACACUCAUAUCUGUUCUCCUUCAAAGCAUAAACUGAUACAAAGAAUGCUAGUCCAGGUGUGCGAGCAAGCUAUGCGGGAAGAGUUUAGAGUAACAGAUUCAGCUGGCAUUGAUUGGUCUUUUGUCAAAGAAAUGAAAGAUAAUAUCUUCCAAAAUGUUAGAAAUAUGAGGCACAAUAGUUGUAAUGAGGAUAAUCAGGUAGCAGGGCAGAUUAUUACAGGAGAUGGUAAAUGCUGUACUGGGUGCCUCUGUAAAAAGGGUGUCUAACUCACAAAUCAUGGGACUCACAGAAGGAGUCACUGGGUGAAAUUCCCUGCCCUGUGUUAUGGGUAGGGUCAGAAUGGGUGAUUACAGUGGUAUCUUUUAAUUCUAUGAAUCUUUACGCUAUUAUUUAACAUACAUCUUUUUAUAUCUACAAUCCUUGCUUCCUAUAAAACCCCCGUGUUACUGUAAUUGCUUAGAUUGCCAGAUUCUUCAUCUUCAACAAUAUAUUACAUUUUACUGUUUGUGAAUAUGACUUGGUGAUGAAUUCUUUCAGGUGCUGCUUUCUUGCUCACUUUCCCCCACAAAGAACGUUUGUGUUCUUGAACUAGAAGGCAGAAACACAAGUAAGAAAAAAAAACCAGGAUCAUCCGUGAUGACAUUCAAGACAAGGUGUGGAAGAUUUAGCCUCAGAGAAACCAGAUUUCAAAGAAAGAUGUUGGACACAAGGAGCUUGUUGUGAACAACAUCUGCAGCUGGUUGGACUAAUUUUGUGUUAAAUAAAUUGGACUUUGAAAUUUUGUAACUACAAUAGGUCCUUUUUGCUAAUUUAUUGGAAUGAUGCUCCAGAUUUGCUUUACACAUUUUUAAAGCUGAUAUUUAUGGUUGAAAUGUUUUCAACAUCAGGGCUGUGUUUAAGUCUUUAUGUUUUAUAGGCCAGCUUGUGUGUCUUAGCAUGACAUUGAUAAAUAUGCAUUUCACUGGCUUUUUGCUUCUGGAAAUGAAAA